Molecule: ribosomal RNA, 433 nt
Filed under: uncultured bacterium
Lineage: Bacteria
Description: partial 16S ribosomal RNA
Rfam family: Bacterial small subunit ribosomal RNA
Source: RNAcentral
AACGAACGCUGGCGGCAUGCCUAACACAUGCAAGUCGAACGAGACCUUCGGGUCUAGUGGCGCACGGGUGCGUAACGCGUGGGAAACUGCCCUUAGGUUCGGAAUAACUCCCCGAAAGGGGUGCUAAUACCGGAUAAUAUCCUCGGACCAAAGAUUUAUCGCGUUUGGAGGGGCCCGCGUGGGAUUAGCUAGUUGGUAGGGUAAAAGCCUACCACGGCGACGAUCCAUAGCUGGUUUGAGAGGAUGCUCAGCCACACUGGGACUGAGACACGGCCCAGACUCCUACGGGAGGCAGCAGUGGGGAAUAUUGGAAUGUGGGCGAAAGCAUGAACCAGCAAUGCCGGGUGAGUGAUGAAGGCCGGAGGGUUGUAAAGCUCGUUUACCCGGGAUGAUAAUGACAGUACCGGGAGAAUAAGCACCGGCUAACUCCGUG